UACGGAGGGUGCAAGCAUUAAUCGGAUUUACUGGGCGUAAAGGGCGCGUAGGCGGGUGUGCAAGUCAAAUGUGAAAUUCCGGAGCUCAACUUCGGAGCGGCAUUUGAAACUGCAUGUCUAUAGAGGGAUGGCGGAGAAAAUGGAAUUCCACAAGUAGCGGUGAAAUGCGUAGAUAUGUGGAAGAACACCAGUGGCGAAAGCGGUUUUCUAGCUAUUACCUGACGCUGAGGCGCGAGAGCAUGGGGAGCAA
RNAcentral lists this ribosomal RNA (250 nucleotides) under uncultured bacterium. RNAcentral's name for it is "partial 16S ribosomal RNA". It matches the Rfam family "Bacterial small subunit ribosomal RNA", at positions 524 to 771 of the family's 1533-position model. The record is from RNAcentral.